This 497-nucleotide ribosomal RNA is filed under the name uncultured bacterium. RNAcentral's name for it is "partial 16S ribosomal RNA". It matches the Rfam family "Bacterial small subunit ribosomal RNA", at positions 28 to 507 of the family's 1533-position model. The record is from RNAcentral.
GAUGAACGCUGGCUGCGUGCCUAAUACAUGCAAGUCGAGCGAACGGACGAGAAGCUUGCUUUUCUGAUGUUAGCGGCGGACGGGUGAGUAACACGUGGUUAACCUACCUAUAAGACUGGGAUAACUUCGGGAAACCGGAGCUAAUACCGGAUAAUAUUUUGAACCGCAUGGUUCAAAAGUGAAAGACGGUCUUGCUGUCACUUAUAGAUGGAUCCGCGCUGCAUUAGCUAGUUGGUAAGGUAACGGCUUACCAAGGCAACGAUGCAUAGCCGACCUGAGAGGGUGAUCGGCCACACUGGAACUGAGACACGGUCCAGACUCCUACGGGAGGCAGCAGUAGGGAAUCUUCCGCAAUGGGCGAAAGCCUGACGGAGCAACGCCGCGUGAGUGAUGAAGGUCUUCGGAUCGUAAAACUCUGUUAUUAGGGAAGAACAUAUGUGUAAGUAACUGUGCACAUCUUGACGGUACCUAAUCAGAAAGCCACGGCUAACUACGUG